GUCCGUGUAGUGUAGUGGUAAACACGUCAUCUGAGCCUGUUGUGGCUCUCCGAAAUCUAUAUCUGAUGAUGCCCUCGGUGCGAUUCCGAGCGCAGACA
This is a non-coding RNA of Mycena epipterygia, 98 nucleotides long. The record is from the annotation of a GenBank genome assembly. NCBI's taxonomy places the organism in Eukaryota, Fungi, Basidiomycota, Agaricomycetes, Agaricales, Mycenaceae.